RNAcentral lists this transfer RNA (71 nucleotides) under Caudoviricetes sp. Its description in RNAcentral is "tRNA-Trp". It matches the Rfam family "tRNA". From Rfam's summary of the family: Transfer RNA (tRNA) molecules are approximately 80 nucleotides in length. Their secondary structure includes four short double-helical elements and three loops (D, anti-codon, and T loops). Lineage: Duplodnaviria; Heunggongvirae; Uroviricota; Caudoviricetes. The record is from RNAcentral.
AGAUUUUUAGUGUAGUGGUAACACGACAAGCUCCAACCUUGUAGUCGUGGGUUCGAUUCCUGCAAAGUCUG